Molecule: transfer RNA, 75 nt
Filed under: Mus musculus (house mouse)
Lineage: Eukaryota; Metazoa; Chordata; Mammalia; Rodentia; Muridae
Description: tRNA-Ser
Source: RNAcentral
GGUUGGAGAGAUGGCUCAGUGGUUAAGAGCACUGACUGCUCUUCCAGAGGUCCUGAGUUCAAUUCCUAGCAACCA